This 63-nucleotide transfer RNA is filed under the name Raeta sp. RNAcentral's name for it is "tRNA-Pro". The record is from RNAcentral. Lineage: Eukaryota; Metazoa; Mollusca; Bivalvia; Venerida; Anatinellidae.
CAGGUUGUAGUUUAUAUAAAAUUCUUGCUUUGGGAGUAUGAGAAGUCAAAUUGGCUAACCUGA